This 335-nucleotide unclassified non-coding RNA is filed under the name soil metagenome. RNAcentral's name for it is "partial contains 5.8S ribosomal RNA, internal transcribed spacer 2, and large subunit ribosomal RNA". The stretch from base 1 to 120 matches the Rfam family "5.8S ribosomal RNA", at positions 35 to 154 of the family's 154-position model. The record is from RNAcentral.
GAUGAAGAACGCAGCGAAAUGCGAUAAGUAAUGUGAAUUGCAGAAUUCAGUGAAUCAUCGAAUCUUUGAACGCACAUUGCGCCCGCCAGUAUUCUGGCGGGCAUGCCUGUUCGAGCGUCAUUUCAACCAUCAAGCCCCCGGCUUGUGUUGGGGACCUGCGGCUGCCGCAGGCCCUGAAAACCAGUGGCGGGCUCGCUAGUCACUCCGAGCGUAGUAAUACAUCUCGCUCAGGGCGUGCUGCGGGUUCCGGCCGUUAAAAGCCUUAUUUACCCAAGGUUGACCUCGGAUCAGGUAGGAAGACCCGCUGAACUUAAGCAUAUCAAUAAAGCGGAGGA